RNAcentral lists this long non-coding RNA (11379 nucleotides) under Marmota monax (woodchuck). The record is from RNAcentral. Lineage: Eukaryota; Metazoa; Chordata; Mammalia; Rodentia; Sciuridae.
CUAGAAUAUCCUGAAAUAGCAGAGUGAGGCAAUGUGAAACCAAUAUUUGAUCUUUAUUUAGUCAGUUUUCACUAAACUUUCUGUGAAAAUGCUUUUUAGUCAGUGAGGUAUACUUGUUCUUCAACACCAAGUGGUAAUUGAAUUCAGCUGUUCUUUCACUCAAUAACGCUAGAUACUGGUCUGAGUGCUGGGAGAUACAGAGGUGAAGAAAACUCACUAUGAUCUCUGCUUUUAUGAGGAGUAUUCUCUUAUGAGGAGAGAGAUGUCAACAGAAAAGAUUUAGAGUCAAGAGUCAGAAGUCAAGAGUCAAGUUCAAAAGGAAAAGGACUUGUUUGUCUAUAAUAGGAAUUCUGUCCACCCCACCAGUGCCCCAUACUGGGGAUGGAACUCAGGGGCUGUCUACCAUUGAGCUAUAUCCCCAGCUUUUUUUAUUUUUCAUUUUCAGAUAGGGUCUUAUUAAGUUGCCCAGGCCUUGAAUUUAGCAAUUCUCCUGCCUCAGCCUCCCGAGUAGCUGAGAUUACAAGUGUGUAACACUGCUCUUGGCUCAUUUUAAAGCUUUUUAAUUAUAAUAGUUUGAAAACUGCUUUAGAGGAAAAGUGCAUAGAACACAAACACUUGCAUUCUGAGGACUUUUUGGUUGGGCGAGAACUGUGCGGAAUUAGGAUUUUAGAUGACCAUAGCAAUUGACUUACCAGAACAGCUCUUCUCACAUGCCAUUGAAAAUAAAGUGGGCUCAGCUAAGUUUACAUGAGCAUAUUUUAAAAACAGGACUUUAAUAAUAAUAAUAAAAAAAACAGCAGAGGACUUGUAAUGCGUUUAACAUUGUGGUUGGCAUUGAGUAAAUUGAUGUAAAUGGGGAGGUCUCCAUCCUCUGGAAAUUUAUAGACUAGUUGCGGAGACAGUCUAGUAGGUAGUGACAGUGUGGUAGAAAUGUUAUAGAUAUUCACAAGGUUUAAUGGAAAAUGGAACUCAGCUCACAUUGGGUAAUGAGGGGCUGGUUAUGUGAGGGGUUUCUGAGUUAAAUGCACGAGAGGCAGUGGGUGACUUGGAAUUAGCCUGGGGAUGGGAAUGGAUAAGUUGGAGAAGUUGGAGUGUGUUACUAAGAGACAUGGAAUUAAGAUUCAACUAAAAGAUACCAAGUAUUAUGUGCUAGGCGAUUUAUACACAAUUUCUAAUCUUAUACAUAAGCCUGAUAUGAGAUUCUCAUUUCAUAAACGGGGAGAGAUAAAUGACUUCCCCAUAAAGUGAAGAAGCUUGUUUUAAUUCUUUUUAAAAAGCUCCUAUAUUCCACAGCAUUUCCACCUUUAAAAGUGGGGGAUGGAGGAAAAGCUAAUCAGAUCUUUUUGCUUGAUUUCUCUUAGUGUCAUAAUGAAAAAUAAAACUCUGGCAUUAUUGUUUGCUUCGAUGUCUAGUCUCACUUGAAUGUUCCAAACCAUUCUUGCUCCAAGCACACCACUAGAUGCAACACAGAAGUAUGUCCCCCUUCCCCCUCAUUGAUAUGAACCUUGGUUGGCACGGCAUCUUCUCUGAAACGUACAUUGUGGUUGUAGACUGUGAAUGGAACAGGAACUAUCCAGAGGAGUAAGGCCAGGGCUCUGUCAGAGAAACCAGGGUAGAAAACCUGUUUCUGGGCCACUUGGCAGAGCUUUUAGUUCCUAUAAUAAUACGAGUACAUUUCCAUUUGGGAUGUGAGUAUCCUAGUUAGGAGUGAGGGCAGAAUGGGGAGGGAAGAGACAAUGAAGUGGGAAGAGGAGAGGAGAAGAAUUGGGAGUGGGAAGGAGGAUAGAAUGACCUGGCUAUGUGGAUACAGAUGUCAUGCAACUGAGAAGAGAAAAGGUAAAUGAUAGGAGGAGGAAAAUGCUGAGAGGGAGACAGAGAGGAAGAAGAAAAAGAGGAGGAGAAAGGAGAGAAUGAAACUAGAGGAAUGAAAGUUUGAGAAACAUUGCAAAAUAUACUGUAUAGAAACCUCUGGCAUUGGUAGCCACGAGUCUCUUACAUAGUGUUUACUCUUUAAAGGUAUUUGCUUUGUAAAAUGUGAGUCAUGAAGGGUAAAGAGAAAACCUAUGAAAUGACAGUUGCUCCCUCUCUUUGAAAUCAAAGUCGGAGAUUCUGAGAAGGCAGCUGUCGCAAAGUGUUUCGCUUCAUCUUUUGGCUGUUCUAUGCCCUUUUAUCCAUUUUGUUGGUUGUUAAGGCUUCGCUCCCACCCCUGAUAUGACCAAGCUAUAAACUAAGAUUUCCAGGUCACCUGAGCCACAGACCAUGAAAGCCGAACCCAUGGAGUUAGAAUUUUUUUUUUUUUUUUUUACAAAGUCAAAAUAAUCUCUGAAUUGGAAAGCCCAUUCCAUGCAAUUCCUCAAUAGCACAUUUGGCAGAUGGUCAUCCAGGUCCAAUAUGGACCUCUCUAUUUGCAGAGUUCAUAAAAAAUCAGAUCAUUCAUUAUUGGAAAACUCUAACAAGGAAACAAAUUUCUCAUUCUGUGUUGAGCUGAAAUUUGUCUUCAAGUUUCAGGGUAACUUUCACACCCUGGUCCUAAUGUCACUGGCUGAAGCAAAUGAGAAGCUAGGGGUUUCUUUGACUUUAUAAUAGAUCUUGAUACACAAGUUAGACAUCUCUUAAAUCUUUCCUUAUUUUUGCAACUUAAGAUCUUUCCCCAUUCUGAAUGACCUCUUAUGGACAAGAGAUAAUUUUAAGUGCUCCUUUUAAAUCAAGGUGCUCAGAAUAAUGCAACAUCAAAUAUUAAAGUGGACUAUUUCUGGCAGUAGGCAUAGUGAGAUAUUAGAAAUUGCCCACCCAUCUCAAUGCAUACUUCAAAGACCUAUAAAUGUUGACCUAAAUGUAAUCUGAAGAUUUGAAAUAACUGGUUAGGAUCAAAGGAGCCUGCAUAUAACAAAGGAACAGAAAAACUCAAAAUGGUAAGAGUGAGCUGAGAGAGGGUCAGUUUAUGGGUAUUUUGAUUCUGGUUUUUUCUUUGUGCUCAGUGCAGCUUUCUAAUGUCCAAGUACGGACAGGAGAUUUAGCCUUGGAUAGUAGGAAGUGGCACCCUGAAAAAGAAGUCCUCUCCAUGAAGCUAGAUACUUUAAUAGGUGUAAAGUCCUUUGUCCAUUGGCCCUGGAGUUGAUGAGAAAACUCGCUUGGGUAAAAUGAAAAAAAAAUCCUGGAGAAAGAAAGCCCACAGGCCUAUGAUAUGCACUGUUUUGAUGAUGCAAUAUUUUGUUGUCUGCCUAGAGAGUGAACCACAAGCUGAGAAAUUAACAAAAGAAUUGGUCCAAGGCCAUUGACUUUCCAAGGGCUUUGGCAGCAGCAAUUGCAAAAUUGUUCUAAAUGGGCUUUUUUUUUUUUUUUUUUGGCAGCCUAUGGUAGAUAGAGCUUCCACAGGGAGAAACUUUAAAAAGCACUAACAAAACUUUCUGUAAAGAUAAGAACACAAUUAAAAGGACAAGUUACAUUGAGAAAAGAAUCAGCAGUUACAAUUAAGAAUUUCAUAUCUCUAGAAUUGAAGAUAAUAUGUUGGGUACAGUGGCCCAUACCUGUAAUUCCAGUGACUUGGGAGGCUGAGGCAGGAGGAUCGUGAGUUCAAAGCAAGCCUCAGCAAAAGUGAGGUGCUAAGCAACUCAGUGAGACCCUGUUUCUAAAUAAAAUACAAAAUAGGGCUGGGAUGUGGCUCAGUGGUCAAGUGCCCCUGAGUUCAAUCCAUGGCACUCCCCCCUAAAAAGAAGAUAAUAAAGUGAGAUAGUAUGUAUACCCAUAAUAUUUAAUGGGUAAGGGAAGAAACAGAAACCACAAUGAAAAACAGAGAGUAUGAUAAAAGGAAUGGGAGGAUUUAAAAAAAAAAAAAAAGAAUUGUGCUGGGGGUGUAGCUCAGUGGUAGUAUGUGGGCUUAGAAUGUGUGAGGCCCUGGGUUCAAUCCCCAACGUAAACAAACAAACAAAUAAAAUAUUGAAUCAUUAAGAAAUGAGAAAUUUGUCAUUAAUAUUAACAAAUUAGUGGAUAAGUAGCAGAACAGAUAGAGUUGAAAAUAUAGUUAGUAAAAUAGAAGAUAGCACUGAAGAAAUUAUCCCUUGCAAAUGUGCAAAGGUAAAAAGAAGAAAAUGUAUAGAAUCAAGCAAAUGAGUAUUUUUCAAAACAUAACUAAACAAAGUUACAGAGUUUACAUUUAAAGAAAUACAAAUAUAGUACUAGAUUGAUAAAAUGUUUUCAGUUGGGGUCAUUAUAAACAAUGCCACUGUUAACAUUUUUGUACAUAUAACCUGGUACAGAUAGGCAUGCAUGGAAUUGUCAGGUCAUAUAUAGACUGGAGACUGGAUUAUGGGUACUUUCUCUGUCUAUGUUUUAGGUUUGACUUUCUGGGAGAGGAGGUUCCCAAGUGUCUUCAGGGAUAAAUGUCCUGCCUUUCCCUUCCUUUAUCAUACUGUUUUAAUUUAGUGAGCACAGUAAGUAUGUAUCCACUGUGGAGUGGUGUGGGAAUCUUUAAAUCCUAUUUUUAGAUUGUCUGACUCUGCUAUAUGACCUUAACAUAGGUGUGCUCUUCUUUAACUGUAGAAUGUACAGAGAGCAUGUCCAUGGUGUUCACAGCCUCUAGCUCCUUUUUCUCCAUCAAUGCUUGUUAUGCUUUUGAUGCUGCCAUGUGACUCUUAAGGAAGUGUCUACAUGCAGUUUCAUUUUUAUUUCCCCUUCUGUUCUCCCUUGCGUUCCCUAUUCAUUAGUCUGAGUCUGUUUUUCCUGUUUCUGUGUGUGUGUCUCCCACACACCCACUUCCUCUCACCACUGUCUAUGUUUUAGGUUUGAUUUUCCCAGAAUUGGAAGUUUCACAAGUGUCCUCAGGGCUGAAGCUCUUGCCUUUCCUUUAUUUUGUCCUACCUUCUCUAGCUUAGCACCUCCAGCAGCAUGAUCAGCUGUUUCUUGGGAGCCAUAUGAGAGAAAAACAAUUGGUAUUGUGCAAAAACUAUGGUAUUUGGGAAUGAAGACACUUGAGUUAUAAUCUUAGGAUCAAUAUUUAUCAGCUGGUGAAAAGUUAUUAAAGAUCUCCAUACUUAAUUUUUCAGCAAUAAAAUGUGAAUUAAUACUUCCAAUGUUUAUUUUGUUAAAAACCAUUUGAGUGCCUAAACUCUUCCAGGGAUGACUCUGAGUGCUAGAGAUGGUUGUGAACAAAACCAAGAAGGUACCUUGUAGAAUUUUACUAGUAUUAAAAAAGGCAAUGACUGUAACACACUUGUUGUAGACUUCGAAAGUAUGCUUGAUAAUUUAUUCAUUUAAUAAAUGUUUAUUUAAUAAAUUAUUACUAUCAAUAAUAGUCUAGACUGACUAUGUUCUAGUCAGUGUGGUAGGCAGUGGGGAUUUCGUAUUGCAUAAGACCAGAGGCAAAGGAUCAGAAAACAAGAAAAACAAGUAAGCCACUUAAUUUCAAUAGUGGUGUCUGUGUAUGAUCCACACAAAUGAACCAGUGAAAAUGAAAGUGGGAAAGUUUUAUUUCAGAUGUUGAAGCUGGUCAACUGAACAGCAAUGCUAGGAGGAGAAAGAGAACUAAGAAAAUGAACAGAUGGCAGUCAGAAACAACCAGAAUACCAUUCAGAAAGAGAAAAUUUUGAAGCCAGAUGGCUAACCAGCCAUUAGCAGAUGGUACCCAUUAUUCCUCUCACUGGUAAGAAGAAGAAAAAAUGCUUAUGCUGUCUUCAUGAUUCUUGGGCUUCUUAUUCCUUAACUAUCCCAUAGCAAAUUGCAUUUGUAGCUAUUUUUAGUCAAAUAAUUUAUAAUUCUUUAAUUCUAGUCUAAUCUCCCUCAUAUUCAAGAAUUCUUACACUAUUCUCCAGCUGGGAUGGCCUAGGAUUGUAUGCUCCCAAUGUCAAAAGAAACGAUGCUAGUUAUACCACUUAACUACAUCCUCAGAGUAGGAGAUAAAGCCUCCGAACUCAGCUGUGAGAAAAGGAGUAUGCUGGACUGGGAGUUCAAAGAUCAAAAUUUCAGUUCCAUUCAUGAGUAGUUAAAAGUGUGUUGCUUGCUAUAGAAGUUAGUGGAUCAGACAAAGGGGAAUGAAGGGAAGGGAGGGGGGAAAGGAAUAUGAAAGACAGUGGAAUGAAUCCGACAUCGUUUUCUUAUGUUCACAUAUGAAUACACCACAGUGAAACUCCACAUCAUGUAUAACCACAAGAAGAUCGUUGUUAGAACAGAUUAUACUCCAUGUAUGUACAAGUCAAAAUACACUCUAAUGUCAUGUAUAUAUCAAAAGAACAAAGAAAAACUAUAUUGCUUUGUAGAGGUGCAUAUUCUUUCUUUGAUUUGUUUUCCUCAUUUACAAAUUCAAGAUAGUAAUUCCUAUCAGAGUUGUUGUGAGGAUUCAACAAAAUGGUGUAUGUGAAAGCUCUUUGAAAACACAAAAUACUCUACAAGUGAAAGGAAUGAUUACCCUAGGUAUGUGGACCACCAACAGUUCCCCGAACAUGUGGAAAGUUCCAUGGGCUGACUUCAGCUCCCACCAUGGACCUUUAAAAAAACAGCUUUCUUGAGAUAUAUAAAAACUGUAUUUAUUUAAGGCAUAGAACUUGAAGUCCAUAUCUAUCUAUCUAUCAAUCUAUCUAUCUCUCAAUGAUUACCAUGACCAAGCUAAUUAAUAUAACAGUUACUAUUUUGUGUGCAUACAUAAAUGUGUGUGUGUGUUGAGAAGAUUUAAUUUGAAAUCUAUUCUUUAAGCAAAUUACAAGCAUACACAAUAUACAGUAUAAUAUUUCUAACUACUUUCAUCAUGGUUAGAUCUCCAGAACUCACUCAUUCAUCCCACAUAGUUGAAAUUUAGUACACUUUGACCAACAUUUCUCCAUUUACCCCUCCCUGACAGUUCCUGAAAACUACCAUCCUACUUUCUAUUUUCAUGAAUUUGACUAUUUUAGAUUCCACAUAUUAGUGAGAUCAUGAAAUACAUACCAUAAGUUUAUUCUGAGGCUUUGGUAAAUCACCACUUCUCUGUGUGCUGGUAUUCUGAGUUUGUCUUGCCAUGAAAGAUUCUUUCUAGAACAUGAUAAAAUUCAAUAUCCCUGGGGCUGGGGCUGGGGCUCAGUGGUAGCGCACUUGCCUGGCAUGUGUGAAGCACUGGGUUCAAUUCUCAGUAAUGCAUAUAAAUAAAUAAAAUAAAGAAAGGACUAUCCACAAUUAAAACAAUGUUAAAAAUUCAAUAUCCCUUCAUAAUAAAAGCUCUGAACAAAUUAGGUAUAGAAGAAUCAUACCUCAACAUAUUUAAAGCUAUAUAUGACAAGCACACAGCUGACAUAUUGAAUGUGGAAAAGCUAAAAGCAUUUAUUCUAAGAUUGGGAACAAGACAAGGGUGUCCAUUCUCAACAUUCUUAUUCAAUGCUGUACCAGAAAAUUUUAGCUGGAGGAGUUAGAUAAGAGAAAGUAAAGAAAAAACAUAUAAUAGGAAGGUAAGAAGUCAAAUUAUCCCUAUUUUCACAUGAUAUAAUUCUAUACAUAGUAUAGUCCAAUAACUCCAUCAAAAGACUAUUAGAGCUGAUAGAUGAAUUCAGUAAAGUUGUAUGAUACCAAUUAACAGGCAAAAAUCAAUAGUUUUUCCAGGUGCUGUGGCACAUGCCUGUAAUCCCAGCAGCUUGGGAGGCUGAGGCAGGAGGAUCACAAGUUCAAAUGUAGCCUCAGCAGUAGCAAGGCUGUAAGCAACUUAGCAAGACCCUGUCUCAAAAUAAAAAUAUAAAAAAGGGCUGGUGAUGUGGCUCAGUGGUCAAGUACCCCUGGGUUCAAUUCCUGAUUAAAAACCAAAACCAAAACCAAUAGUUUCUUAUACACGAAUAAUGAGCUUUCUGAGAAAGAUAAUAGGAAAGCAUUUACACUCACAGUAGCUACAAAAAAAUCUAGAAAUUAAUUUAACCAAGGAUGUAAAAGACCUCUAAUAAAAAUUAUAAAACACUGAUGAAAGAAAUUUGAAAAGACACAAAAAGGGGAAAAAAUUCCAUGUGCAUGUAUAUGAAGCCUUAAAGUUGUUAAACGUCCAUAUUACUCAAAGAAAUCUACAGAUUCAAUCCAAUCCCCAUUGAAAUACCAAUGGCAUUCUUCACAGAACUAGAAAAAACAUCCUAAAAUUCAAAUGGAAACAAAAGAAUCUUCAGCAAAAAGAACAAAGCUGGAGGUAUCACAAUUCUUGAUUUUAAGACAUACCCCAUAAUCAAAGAAACCAAAACAACACAGUACUGCCAUGAGAACAGACACUGGGGUCAGUGGAACAGAACAGAGAGAUCGGAAAUAAACUCACAUCUACAGCCAAAUAAUUGUCAACAAACAUGCCAAAAAACACAGUGGAGAAAGGGCAGCCUCUUCAACGACUGGUUCUGGGAAUACUGACUAUCCACAGGCGGAAGACUGAAACUUGACCCCUUUGUCUCUCCUUUUACAAAAGUCAACUCAAAAUAAAUCAAAGAACUCAAUAUAAGACUGAAAUUCUCAAACUAGCUGAAGGAAACCUAAGGAAACACUUCAAGAUAUAGGUGUAGGCAAUAUUUUUAUGAAUAAGACCCCAAAACACAGGAAAAGAAGCAAAAUUGACAAAGAGGGAAACAUCUGCCAGCAAAGGCAACCAUCAACAGAGAGAAGAGAAAAUCUCCAGAAAGGGAGGAAAUAUUCAUCAGCCAUCCAUGGACAGAGGUCUCAUGUCUAGAACCCAAAAACUUCACCACAAAAAAACCAAGUCAUCCAGUUUAAAAGUGGGCCAAUGAUCUGAAUAAACACUUCUCAAAGGAAGAAAUAAAAAUGGCCAACAAAUAUGUGGAGAAAAUGCUCAAUAUCAUUAGCUAUCAGGGAACUGCAAAUCAAAACUACAAUGAGACACCAUCUCACCUCAUAAUAAAAAACAAAAAACCAAAUAAUAAGGAGGUGGGGAAAAAGGGACUCUCAUACACUUUUGGUGGGAAUGCAAAUUAGUAAAACCACUAUGAAGAACACUUCCUGACACAACUUAAACUAGAUCUACCAUAGGAUCCAGCCAUGCCACUUCUGAAUGUAUAUUCAAAGAAAAUAGAAUCUGCAUAGCAAAGAGAUCCCUGCCCACUCAAGAUUACUGAGAUAUUCAGAUACUACUCACAAUAGAUAAAGCAGGGAAUCAAGUUAGGUGCCCAUCAACAGAUGAAUGGAUUUAAAAAGGUGGUGCAAAUACACAAGGCAGUAUUACUCAGCCACAAAUAAGAGUGAAAUCCUGUGAUUUGGGGCUGGGGAUGUGGCUCAAGCAGUAGCGUGCUUGCCUGGCAUGCGUGCGGCCCGGGUUCGAUCCUCAGCACCACAUACAAAACAAAAGAUGUUGUGUUCGCUGAAAACUAAAAAAUAUAUAUAAAAUUUCUCUCUCUCUCUCUUUCUCUUUAAAAAAAAAAGUGAAAUCCUGUGAUUUGCAGCAAAAUGGAUGGAACUGGGGGCAAAGACACCAAAGGCAAGAACUACACUCUCUCUCUCAUGUGGAAGUUAAAAGAAGUCCACCUGAAUGUAGACUAGGGAUUAACAGGUUAGAAAUGCUGUGUGUGUGAAAGGGAGGAUAUACAGAGAGAGGCUGGAUUAGAUUGCUACACACUGUACAUGUGUGGAAAUAGCAUACCGAUACCACUAAUAUGUACAAUUAAAACAUGUUUUUUUUUUUUAAAACAUGUUAAUAAAAAUAAAAACAUAAAAAUCUUUCUAGGUAUACCUUGCAACAAGUUCCUGGAUUCAAUGGUUCUCUUUUCAGAAAAAAAUAUAGUGAAAGUUAUAAUAGCCCAAAAGUGUCUGGAUCAACUGACCUUUGAGAAAAGAAAUUGUUUAAGUCCAGAUAACCAUCAAUGGAGGUUAUACUAUACUGCUUUCAUUGGUCAGAAAACACAUAACAAAAACCAAACCAAAUCUAAAAAAUAAUAGCUUCGUGUCUUUAAGUCUGAAAAACUGUUAGCACUUGAAAAAUUUGAAAUAUAAAUAACAGAACUCUUAAGAUUUUUAAAGGGAAAUUAGAAAUUUGGAGAAUGCAAAGUACUGUACCAUGAUUCACUUUUCUUUUUACUGAUAUGCCCAUGGUUUCCCUCCCAUCCACUAUCUGGACUAUUUUGAACUCUCAUUUAAUCAUUUAGUUUCUUAUUUUGAUUACAAAAAUAAAUUUUCUGUGUUCUUUCAAGCUGUUUUGGGACAACGUUCAUUACAGAAAGUUAGGUUGGGCUAGGCCCAUCUCUGGGAUUUCAGCUUAGAGUGAGGGGCAGAAGCUUAUUCUUUAGGGAUACAAUGGGGUGUGGGGAGAGGGUAAUAUUCAUGAGGUCAGAAUGGGAGGAACUGGAGCCAGGAGAUUUGAUCCUGUCCCUCCAUUGACAAGAGCACACAGAAAGUGACACACACACACACACACACACACACACACACACACGAAUGUUUCUAUAAUGACAGGCUCUGCGUGUGCUGGGAGGAAAGGUUUGCAAAACAAGUUAGUGAGCAAGGAGUGCAGGUGGGGCUGGCCUAGUUCUCCUGCCUUUGCUCACAGUCUGGGAGGCUCAGAAGACUCCCCUGAGAAAUUGACCUCAGAGCCUGAGGUCAGAGUGGAAAUAACUAGGCCCAGGAAGUGGUGAGGGGAGCAGAGGGGCCAGCGCUCCCCAGGCAGAGUGAAUUGCUUGUUCAGAGGCUUUUGGCAGGAAGAAGCUGUGUAUAGUUAGAGGAACUGAAAGCUGACAGAGAGGCUAAGGUGCAGAGCAAGUGAAGCUGGAAGGCAAGAUGGUGUUCAGAGGUUAUUCAGAGUUGAGCAGGGAGGGCCUGUGUGAUCCUGUGGGCCAUGCCGUUGUUUUGCUCUCCUGACAAAGAGCCACUUCCCGGACCAGGCAAAAGGUUAGGGGGUGGUGACGAGGUGGAAAUGUAGAGAGAGAGCCACUUAAGAGAUGUAAGGUAGAGCCCAGCUGGCAUGGGAGAGGGUCAGCAGCUAGCUACCCAGGCUCUGACUGAGUAAAGAAGGGAUCCUCGUCCAGGUGACAAGGGCUCUGAGCCACUGUUGUUGUCAGAUUCUUAUUUUCAGUGUGAGGAAUGGGUACUUGGCUUUCCAGGUUCACAGAUGCACACUUUAAUUUUAUGUCUUUUCUUUGGAAUAGAAGGAGGAGGAGUGAGCAGGAGGUAGAAGAGGCAGCCAGCAGAAGGAGAGGCCCGCAGGAGGGGUGAGAGGUGGAGGGGAAUGUAGGGGAGCACCCAUACAGUCAGGCAUAUUACUGUAAGUGGGCAAUAGCAUUAUGUGUGAAAAAGAUGUGUAUCCAUUAAUUAAAAUAUUUUAUUGCUAAAAACUGUUUAAGAUCAUCUGAGCUGUUGGGAAAAUGGUGCUAAUAGAUUUCCUCCAUGCAGGGUUGCCACACAUCUUCAAAUUCCACAAAAUACAGCAUUAAAGUGAAGUGCAAUGAAAUAUGC